This 1199-nucleotide unclassified non-coding RNA is filed under the name Hevea brasiliensis (rubber tree). The record is from RNAcentral. Lineage: Eukaryota; Viridiplantae; Streptophyta; Magnoliopsida; Malpighiales; Euphorbiaceae.
GCAGGACUAUGCACGUAAUUUAAAGCUAGACAUUGGUUUUGUUGAGAUGUCAGUUAACACAAGUCAUAGAAUGACAAUACAUAUGCUGCAACAUUAGUAUGAUGUAGGCAGCACGUAAAAACACGUAGAUGAUUUUCCAUACGAUAUCUUUUCUCAGGCUAACAACUUAGUACAAUUUCACAAGACAGAAAUAUCCAAGCCGACCUUAAGCAUAAUAGAGGUUCUACGAAAAGCUCUUCAUAAAUUCAGACAGACACUUAUGGAUCAUUCCGUGUCUCCUCGGUCUCAGUCACUCGACCAACAGACAGUCUUAUUCGCGCACAUGCAUAUCUAUUGACACUUUCAAAUUCCAUGAUUUACCAAACUAGAGUUUAGCAAAUUUGGGCUUUCUCUUCUGGCUAUGUGCUGAAAUUGCUUCUUUUAAGUCAUCUGAUAACAGGGCACCAGAAUUCCAUGUGGCAACAUAAUCCAGGCCUUGUUCCACUGUCAAAUCCCUACUUCUCAGCAACACAGCUUUUGUUCCAAUAACAGCAAGUGGAGACUUUAUUGCUAUUUCCUUAGCAACAACUUUGACACCUUCCUCCAAAGCUUCUUUAGAAGUAAAAAGCUUAGACACCAAGCCCAAAUCUUUAGCUUCAGAACCUGUAAAUCUUCGACCAGUUAAAGCCAACUCCAUAGCAUUUCCAAACCCAACAAUACUGGGAAGCCUCUGAAGUGUCCCGAGAUCAGCCGUAAUAGCUAAAUCCACCUCUUUCACUGAGAAAAAAGCAUCAGUAGAACAAUACCUAAUAUCACAGGCAGUAAUGAUAUCAAUCGCACCACCGAUACAUGCGCCAUGGACAGCAGCAAUCACCGGUUUACGGCAACACUCUAAGGCAGUAAUAGCCUCCUGAAGAAACUUGAUAUGUCGCCGGAGUCUCUCAACUUUACGGCCACAAUCAACGGCGUCGGUUUCUUUGAAGACAUCACCUAGGGUAUGGAGGUCGAUGCCGGAACAGAAGUGCUUGCCGGAGCCAGCGAGGAUGAUAACGGCGACAUCGGGGUUUUGAUCGAGUGAGGAGAUGGCUUUGGGGAAUUCAGUGAAGAAAUCUUGUGAGAGAGCGUUGAGGUGUGUGGGUCGGUUGAGAUACAGGUAAUAAACAAGAGAAUUUGGAGAUUUUUGAAUGAUUUUCAGUGAUUUGUAUUCCUCCAUUAUUUGU